CACGUAGUUAGCCGUGGCUUUCUGAUUAGGUACCGUCAAGAUGUGCACAGUUACUUACACAUUUGUUCUUCCCUAAUAACAGAGUUUUACGAGCCGAAACCCUUCAUCACUCGCGCGGCGUUGCUCCGUCAGGCUUUCGCCCAUUGCGGAAGAUUCCCUACUGCUGCCUCCCGUAGGAGUCUGGACCGUGUCUCAGUUCCAGUGUGGCCGAUCACCCUCUCAGGUCGGCUACGUAUCGUCGCCUUGGUAAGCCGUUACCUUACCAACUAGCUAAUACGGCGCGGGUCCAUCUAUAAGUGAUAGCAAAACCAUCUUUCACUUUAGAACCAUGCGGUUCUAAAUGUUAUCCGGUAUUAGCUCCGGUUUCCCGAAGUUAUCCCAGUCUUAUAGGUAGGUUACCCACGUGUUACUCACCCGUCCGCCGCUAACUUCAAAGGAGCAAGCUCCUUAUCUGUUCGCUCGACUUGCAUGUAUUAGGCACGCCGCCAGCGUUCAUCCUGAGCCAGGAUCAAACUCU
RNAcentral lists this ribosomal RNA (517 nucleotides) under uncultured Staphylococcus sp. RNAcentral describes it as "partial 16S ribosomal RNA". Lineage: Bacteria; Bacillati; Bacillota; Bacilli; Caryophanales; Staphylococcaceae. The record is from RNAcentral.